UCUUUUGGCGAGACACCCCGGGAACUGGGGCUAAUCCCUGAUAAGCGAUCAGGCUUGGAACAGUUGAUCACCCAAAAGCCUUCUAACCAUGCUUGUGAAGGCGCCCAAGGACAAAGCCGCGACCGAUCAGGCUGUUGGUAGGGCAACGGCCUACCAAACCCAUAACCGGUACGGGCCGUGAGAGCGGAAGCCCGGAGAUGGAUACUGAGACAAGGAUCCAGGCCCUACGGGGCGCAGCAGUUGCGAAAACUCCACAAUGCACGAAAGUGUGAUGGGGCUACCCCGAGUGCCGUCCGCUGAGGAUGGCUUUUCUCUGCUGUAAGGAGGCAGAGGAAUAAGGAGAGGGCAAGCCUGGUGUCAGCCGCCGCGGUAAUACCAGCUCUCCGAGUGGUAGGGAUGAUUAUUGGGCUUAAAGCGUCCGUAGCCGGCUUGACAAGUCUUCUGUUAAAUCCAGCAACCCAAUUGUUGGACUGCGGGAGAUACUGCCUAGCUAGAGAACGGGAGAAGCCGACGGUACUCUCAGGGUAGGAGUGAAAUCCUAUAAUCCUGGGAGGACCACCAGUGGCGUAGGCUGUCGGCUAGAACGUGUCUGACGGUGAGGGACGAAAGCUUGGGGAGCGAACCGGAUUAGAUACCCGGGUAGUCCAAGCUGUAAACGAUGCGGGCUAGGUGUUGGGGUGGCUACGUGCCACUUCAGUGCCGCAGGGAAGCCGUUAAGCCCGCCGCCUGGGGAGUACGGUCGCAAGGCUGAAACUUAAAGGAAUUGGCGGGGGAGCAC
RNAcentral lists this ribosomal RNA (778 nucleotides) under uncultured archaeon. Its description in RNAcentral is "bacterial SSU rRNA". It matches the Rfam family "Archaeal small subunit ribosomal RNA", at positions 112 to 879 of the family's 1478-position model. The record is from RNAcentral.